Molecule: long non-coding RNA, 720 nt
Organism: Centropristis striata (black sea bass)
Lineage: Eukaryota; Metazoa; Chordata; Actinopteri; Perciformes; Serranidae
Exons: 7
Source: RefSeq, a predicted model, not a curated record
UCAGCGUUUGACGCAUGUAGGGAAAACUUUAGAAAGUUAGCUAAACGGCUAAAAUGCUGAAACACCUUUGUUGAGGAGAAUAAAUAGAGGAACAGCAAACAGAACAAUAGGAAUACAGUUCCCAGGAAGCCCUGGCUGCUGGCCCUGCUGCUGCCGCUCACUGCCACAGUCUGGACAGCAGGGGAGGGUGGAGUGUUCCUCCGGGGGCCUGGGACGCUUCCAGCUGGGCCGCCGAGGUGUGGAGCUUGCCUCGGGGUAAGCCUCUUGUACUCUCUUUGAGGGAAAAUUCCCCUUUUCUCCGUUUCCCAUCAAGCCGGCUUGUAACUCAAAAGGACAGACUUUAUUACACUUUGGAGAUUCCAGGCAGCAGUGGACAGUAUAAAGGAGACAGCCGUCACUUCAGCCUCUGAAAUGAUGAUCUCCAUUCUGGCCAUGUUGCACUCCACAUGCAAACCACAGCAGAUCGCAGGUCAUAUACAGCAGAGACCCUGAAGACCGAAGAAUGGGGGAAACAAACUGCGGACUUUCACCCAGGACAAUGGGCGGCCUUUGUUUGGAUAAAUUGUUUGAAGAUUUACUGUAGUUCUUCAAGGCCCCGAGAAGUGUCCCCCUGCUGCCCGAGCUCAAUGUCCCUGCCUUACUGGAGGCCCAGAGCUGAUGACACACUGCUGGUCUUGGACAAAGGCCUGUUUUUCUAAGACAAGAUGGAGGGAGCAUCUC